AGCAGAGCAGCCGCGGCCGUGCCCGCACCACAGCCUCCUCCACUCGCGACCACGGCGGCGCGCCGCCCACCUGAACUCGCGUCGUCCGGCAUCCGCCCUUUCGCGGCUCCGCGUCCGGCCUCCAGUGCGGCGGUCCCGCCUCCGGUUCAGCUCAGCUCCCUCGGGCUGCAGCCUGCGCGUGCCAGCCGUCCCCAGCCAGCCCCAAGGUCCAUGACUCGAGCGGCGCAGCCCCGCGACCGCGAGUCGCCCCGUCCGGCCUACAGGCCAUAGCGAACGCCCAACCGCCCAGCGCCGCAGCCGCCAGACCCAGCUCGGCAGCUCCUCUCUCUCUCCGGUGUGGUGUGACUGUCUAUCUGUCUCCACUCUUGAGAUUUAGCGAUGCCGUUCCAAGUGCUGUCUAACUGUGAAGACAUAUAUUUGUUCAUUGGUUAAAAUAUUAUCACUGUAUUUUUAAGUUUUUAACCCAUAAUGUAUUGUUUGUUUGUGCACUUUGAAUUUGAAUUAAGCGACAUUUGUUAUAUCUGUUAGUCUAUUGUUAGCACGAUUUCUA
Sorghum bicolor (sorghum) is the source of this 550-nucleotide long non-coding RNA. RefSeq lists it as uncharacterized. The transcript has 2 exons. The record is from RefSeq and is a predicted model, not a curated record. Lineage: Eukaryota; Viridiplantae; Streptophyta; Magnoliopsida; Poales; Poaceae.